UUUAAAACCGUUGGCCGACAGGGCGUAAGCACAUUGCAAAUUCGAAGCGGUAAAGAAAAAGCGUUUCGUUCUCUUGAAAACCUCCGAACCGGGUGAGUAAGUACCGUAGGAAGUCGUCCUGAGUAGGUGGGGAGUAACGUUCGGAGACGGAGGGAUGAAUACGGCAUCCGUCUACGGGAGAAAGCAGGGGACGUCGGGCCUUGCGCUAUCAGAUGAGCCUAGGUCGGAUUAGCUAGUUGGUGAGGUAAUGGCUCACCAAGGCUACGAUCGCGUAACUGCUCUGAGAGAUGAUCAGUCACACUGCAACU
RNAcentral lists this ribosomal RNA (308 nucleotides) under Pseudomonas fragi. RNAcentral describes it as "bacterial SSU rRNA". The stretch from base 90 to 308 matches the Rfam family "Bacterial small subunit ribosomal RNA", at positions 103 to 320 of the family's 1533-position model. The record is from RNAcentral. Lineage: Bacteria; Pseudomonadati; Pseudomonadota; Gammaproteobacteria; Pseudomonadales; Pseudomonadaceae.